GACGAACGCUGGCGGCGUGCUUAACACAUGCAAGUCGAACGGAAAGGCCCUGCUUUUGUGGGGUGCUCGAGUGGCGAACGGGUGAGUAACACGUGAGUAACCUGCCCUUGACUGUGGGAUAACUUCAGGAAACUGGGGCGAAUACCGGAUAGGAGCUCCUGCUGCAUGGUGGGGGUUGGAAAGUUUCGGCGGUUGGGGAUGGACGCGCGGCUUAUCAGCUUGUUGGUGGGGUAGUGGCUUACCACGGCUUUGACGGGUAGCCGGCCUGAGAGGGUGACCGGCCACAUUGGGACUGAGAUACGGCCCAGACUCCUACGGGAGGCAGCAGUGGGGAAUAUUGCACAAUGAGCGGAAGCCUGAUGCAGCAACGCCGCGUGCGGGAUGACGGCCUUCGGGUUGUAAACCGCUUUCGCCUGUGACGAAGCGUGAGUGACGGUAAUGGGUAAAGAAGCACCGGCUAACUACGUG
This 468-nucleotide ribosomal RNA is filed under the name uncultured bacterium. RNAcentral's name for it is "partial 16S ribosomal RNA". It matches the Rfam family "Bacterial small subunit ribosomal RNA", at positions 28 to 507 of the family's 1533-position model. The record is from RNAcentral.